CCCUUAGAUGUUCUGGGCCGCACGCGCGCUACAAUGGCAGACUCAGCGAGUUACCUCUGUCGAAAGGCACAGGGAAUCUUUACAGUACCUGCCGUGAUGGGGAUAGACCCUUGUAAUUUUUGGUCUUCAACGAGGAAUUCCUAGUAAACGCAAGUCAUUAACUUGCAUUGAUUACGUCCCUGCCCUUUGUACACACCGCCCGUCGCACCUACCGAUUGAAUGGUCCGGUGAAGUCCUCGGACCCAGUUGAACCUCGAGUUGAACAGGGAAAGUUGACUAAAUCUUACCAUUUAGAGGAAGGUGAAGUCGUAACA
Molecule: ribosomal RNA, 314 nt
Filed under: uncultured eukaryote
Lineage: Eukaryota
Description: partial 18S ribosomal RNA
Rfam family: Eukaryotic small subunit ribosomal RNA
Source: RNAcentral